Molecule: ribosomal RNA, 446 nt
Filed under: uncultured bacterium
Lineage: Bacteria
Description: bacterial SSU rRNA
Rfam family: Bacterial small subunit ribosomal RNA
Source: RNAcentral
AACGAACGCUGGCGGCAUGCCUAACACAUGCAAGUCGAACGAACCCUUCGGGUUAGUGGCGCACGGGUGCGUAACACGUGGGAAUCUGCCCUUUGCUUCGGAAUAACAGUUAGAAAUGACUGCUAAUACCGGAUGAUGUCGUAAGACCAAAGAUUUAUCGGCAAAGGAUGAGCCCGCGUAGGAUUAGGUAGUUGGUGGGGUAAAGGCCUACCAAGCCGACGAUCCUUAGCUGGUCUGAGAGGAUGAUCAGCCACACUGGGACUGAGACACGGCCCAGACUCCUACGGGAGGCAGCAGUGGGGAAUAUUGGACAAUGGGCGAAAGCCUGAUCCAGCAAUGCCGCGUGAGUGAUGAAGGUCUUCGGGUUGUAAAGCUCUUUUACCAGGGAUGAUAAUGACAGUACCUGGAGAAUAAGCUCCGGCUAACUCCGUGCCAGCAGCCGCGGU